GUGAGUAUCUGAGAACGAUUCCAGGCCCUACGGGGCGCAGCAGGCGCGAAAACUUUACAAUGCAGGAAACUGUGAUAAGGGAACCCCGAGUGCCCGUAUAUGCGGGCUGUCCGGAUGUUUAAAACGCAUCCGAAGAAAGGGCCGGGCAAGACCGGUGCCAGCCGCCGCGGUAAUACCGGCGGCUCGAGUGGUGGCCACUUUUAUUGGGCUUAAAGCGUUCGUAGCUUGAAUAAUAAGUCUCUUGGGAAAUCUGCAGGCUUAACCUGCAGGCGUUUAAGAGAAACUGUUGUUCUAGGAACCGGAAGAGGUGAGAGGUACUCCGGGGGUAGGAGUGAAAUCCUGUAAUCCCCGGGGGACCACCGAUGGCGAAGGCAUCUCACCAGGACGGCUUCGACAGUGAGGAACGAAAGCUGGGGGAGCGAACCGGAUUAGAUACCCGGGUAGUCCC
RNAcentral lists this ribosomal RNA (448 nucleotides) under Methanoplanus sp. enrichment culture clone CIBANICRA-56. Its description in RNAcentral is "bacterial SSU rRNA". It matches the Rfam family "Archaeal small subunit ribosomal RNA", at positions 295 to 748 of the family's 1478-position model. The record is from RNAcentral. Lineage: Archaea; Methanobacteriati; Methanobacteriota; Methanomicrobia; Methanomicrobiales; Methanomicrobiaceae.